GACGAACGCUGGCGGCGUGCUUAACACAUGCAAGUCGAACGGAAAGGCCCUGCUUUUGUGGGGUACUCGAGUGGCGAACGGGUGCGUAACACGUGAGUAACCUGCCCUUGACUUUGGGAUAACUUCAGGAAACUGGGGCUAAUACCAGCUAGGAGCUCCUGCUGCUUGUUGGUGGUUGGAAAGUUUCGGCGGUUGGGGAUGGACUCGCGGCUUAUCGGCUUGUUGGUGGGGUAGUGGCUUACAAAGGUUUUGACGGGUAGCCGGCCUGAGAGGGUGACCGGCCACAUUGGGACUGAGAUAGGGCCCAGACUCCUACGGGAGGCAGCAGUGGGGAAUAUUGCACAAUGGGCGGAAGCCUGAUGCAGCAACGCCGCGUGCGGGAUGACGGCCGUCGGGUUGUAAACCGCUUUCGCGUGUGACGAAGCGUGAGUGACGGUAAUGGGUAAAGAAGCAACGGCUAACUACGUG
RNAcentral lists this ribosomal RNA (468 nucleotides) under uncultured bacterium. RNAcentral's name for it is "partial 16S ribosomal RNA". It matches the Rfam family "Bacterial small subunit ribosomal RNA", at positions 28 to 507 of the family's 1533-position model. The record is from RNAcentral.